RNAcentral lists this ribosomal RNA (373 nucleotides) under uncultured bacterium. RNAcentral's name for it is "bacterial SSU rRNA". It matches the Rfam family "Bacterial small subunit ribosomal RNA", at positions 523 to 898 of the family's 1533-position model. The record is from RNAcentral.
AUACGGAGGAUCCAAGCGUUAUCCGGAAUCAUUGGGUUUAAAGGGUCCGUAGGCGGUCUUAUAAGUCAGUGGUGAAAGUUUUUAGCUUAACUAAAAAAUUGCCAUUGAUACUGUUAGACUUGAAUUACUUGGAAGUAACUAGAAUAUGUAGUGUAGCGGUGAAAUGCUUAGAUAUUACAUGGAAUACCAAUUGCGAAGGCAGGUUACUAUGAGUUAAUUGACGCUGAUGGACGAAAGCGUGGGUAGCGAACAGGAUUAGAUACCCUGGUAGUCCACGCCGUAAACGAUGGAUACUAGUUGUUUGGCCGCAAGGCUGAGUGACUAAGCGAAAGUGAUAAGUAUCCCACCUGGGGAGUACGAACGCAAGUUUGAA